Molecule: non-coding RNA, 72 nt
Organism: Turnera subulata
Lineage: Eukaryota; Viridiplantae; Streptophyta; Magnoliopsida; Malpighiales; Passifloraceae
Source: the annotation of a GenBank genome assembly
GUCGUUGUAAUAUGGUGGGGAGUAUUCUCGCCUGUCACGCGGGUGACCCGGGUUCGAUUCCCUGCAACGGCG